Gavialis gangeticus (Gharial) is the source of this 1209-nucleotide long non-coding RNA. RefSeq lists it as uncharacterized. Lineage: Eukaryota; Metazoa; Chordata; Crocodylia; Gavialidae. The transcript has 3 exons. The record is from RefSeq and is a predicted model, not a curated record.
GGCUGGCUGGAGCCAUACUGUGGCUGCCAGCCAGGCUCUGAGAUUCAGGAGCACCAUAGCUGCAGCUCCCUGAGGCCCUCAGGACUUCAAAUAAGGUUGCUAGGGUCAGCCCAUUUUCUGGCCCCAGCCUCCUCUACUGCACCCUGGGGUAACAUGCCAUGUGCCAGCACACAUGUGGACAUUCCCCAGGGACAGGUGUGCUGGUGCUACUUGUCCUUGGGGAAGGAAACAUCCAUGCUUGUCUGGAUGGGGCCUUGGUGGUUUAAGGCAGUGACAUUGCAGCUAGGACUCCUGGGUUCUGCUCCUAAAUCUUCCAUCAACUUUCUGUGCAAACUUUGAGCUGAGCUGUAGUCACUUGCUAUCUGAGCGUCACUCUCCUCAUUUGUCGAAUGGAAGGAAAUGUAAGUUUCUGGGUGGAGAUUUGCCAAAUUUUAAUUGUGGUUAAUGUGUCAGGAGCUCAUGAGAUACAAUGAUCUCUAGAAGCCUGCUGGAUUUAUGUACAUAUGCCAAAAUAUGGGUUAAAUAUAACACAUAUGGAAAAUGAAAACUCAGUUGAAAAAUACAUUGUGGAGCACCUUCCAUUACUCCCCAAGUCAUAUUUAUCCUGUGUGAGCUGAUCCCAUCUCAGUCUGGUCAGAAAUACAGGGACUGUUUUCCUACCAAAUGAGGGGCCUUUAUUUGGGUUUGUCAUCAAGAAUCUGACAUGUCUUUCACUUGCAUUUCAGAAAUCACAAAAGUGUGGGACAAAGUAUUUGACUUGGUUUAUCAGAACCUCUCAACGAACAAGGUGGGGUCCUUCUGCUAUAUCAUCUUGUCUCCCAUAUACACUCUGGUUCAUUUUAUAAUGAGAAAUAAUGUCUGUAUUUAAAAAAAAAAAAGCAAAAGAUAACAAAUAUCUCUACUCCUACCAGACUGGUGGAGUUGUGCACAGCUGUACACUGCUGUGUUUCCCUCUUUGAGCUGAGACAUCUCAGCAGAUGUCUCAAUAUAAUUCAAGUCCUCGGGAGAACCAGGUCCUGUGAAGUGGAAGCUUCCCUCGGUUGUUUAGAGAAGACCUUGUCUGCCUCCUCCUCCGGGUUUGGUGGCCUGUAGCAGACCUGCCAUGACAUCCUCCUCCCCUGUAACCUUUCCUGAGAGGGUUUCAGCUGGCCCACCUUCCAGUUGAUACCAUACCUCAGAAAACAUGCACAUUGCCUUAUUGUUAGUGCA